ACCUUAUUAAGAGUGGUGGAGUGAAUGGGCACUUUGAAACCCGGCAACCUAAUUGGUGCUAAAUCCCACAGAGUUAUUCUGAAAGAUGAGGU
Regulatory RNA element from Peptoniphilus lacrimalis 315-B, 92 nucleotides. It matches the Rfam family "SAM riboswitch aptamer (S box leader)". Rfam says of the family: The SAM riboswitch is found upstream of a number of genes which code for proteins involved in methionine or cysteine biosynthesis in Gram-positive bacteria. The SAM riboswitch acts at the level of transcription termination control. The predicted structure consists of a complex stem-loop region followed by a single stem loop terminator region. NCBI's taxonomy places the organism in Bacteria, Bacillati, Bacillota, Tissierellia, Tissierellales, Peptoniphilaceae. The record is from Rfam.